Molecule: ribosomal RNA, 823 nt
Filed under: uncultured bacterium
Lineage: Bacteria
Description: bacterial SSU rRNA
Rfam family: Bacterial small subunit ribosomal RNA
Source: RNAcentral
UGCAGUCGAACGGACUUAACCAUUAGUUUACUAUUGGAGCGGUUAGUGGCGGACUGGUGAGUAACACGUAAGCAACCUGCCUAUCAGAGGGGAACAACAGUUAGAAAUGACUGCUAAUACCGCAUAUGCCUAAGUACUACAUGGUACAAUAGGGAAAGGAGCAAUCCGCUGAUAGAUGGGCUUGCGUCUGAUUAGAUAGUUGGUGGGGUAAAGGCCUACCAAGUCGACGAUCAGUAGCCGGACUGAGAGGUUGAACGGCCACAUUGGGACUGAGAUACGGCCCAGACUCCUACGGGAGGCAGCAGUCGGGAAUAUUGCGCAAUGGAGGAAACUCUGACGCAGUGACGCCGCGUGCAGGAAGAAGGUUUUCGGAUUGUAAACUGCUUUAGACAGGGAAGAGACAAGACAGUACCUGUAGAAUAAGCUCCGGCUAACUACGUGCCAGCAGCCGCGGUAAUACGUAGGGAGCGAGCGUUAUCCGGAUUUAUUGGGUGUAAAGGGUGCGUAGACGGGAAAAUAAGUUAGUUGUGAAAUCCCUCGGCUUAACUGAGGAACUGCAACUAAAACUGUUUUUCUUGAGUACUGGAGAGGAAAGUGGAAUUCCUAGUGUAGCGGUGAAAUGCGUAGAUAUUAGGAGGAACACCAGUGGCGAAGGCGACUUUCUGGACAGAAACUGACGUUGAGGCACGAAAGUGUGGGGAGCAAACAGGAUUAGAUACCCUGGUAGUCCACACCGUAAACGAUGGAUACUAGGUGUAGGGGAUAAUAAAUUCUCUGUGCCGCCGCUAACGCAAUAAGUAUCCCACCUGGGGAGUACGGCCGC